AAACCUAAACUGCUAAACAGCUUCCCAAAUCGUAAAAAAAUGUCCGCUCAGUUGACUCAAACGAUCGCAGCACUACGUGUUGGAAAGAGAAGAAAAACAAUAGACCAACGUUUCUUAUGGCAGAGGUACUUUAGCGUGAAGUUGGAAUAAUGAUUCGGUUUAGUAAUUCAGUGAAAUGUUGGCUGUUUUAAUGUCACACUGGCCAACACUUUCCUGAUAAGGACAUUGAACGACAUGUUUCCCAGAUGACGUUGCACCUCCGUUUGGCCUUAUUCUAUCCUUGCCAAAUCUAAUUAUGCAAAGAAUGGAGAGGGCCUAAAUACCUUGCACGAAUUUGCAUUAUUAGCACAUUAAUUCAAACUUGCCUUUCAUAUGCUGGAAUAACCUUUUUUUAAGGAACCAUUUUUUAAAAUCUUUAAAAGAAGGUCAUUGGUAAAAAUUCAUCACGACGUUUACCGUCGUCUUCAUGACACAGUUUCGUACGAUUUGGUUAGCACUAGCAUCGCGAAAAGGCUGAAUUCCAUUACCAUGCAAGAACAAAGGAAGUGAUUAAGCUAGUCUAUUGUUCUUUUUAUUUUGAUUUGAUUAUUUUUUGGUUUUUUUGUUUUUACUUGCAUACUACAGAUACUACAGCUCUAAAAUAGAUUACAUUGAGAGCGGAAGCAGGAUCCAUUACCCAAUAAAAAAGAAAAGAAAAGAGGUUCCAAGAAACUACGGCCGUCCAUCAGAAAACUAGAUCACUUUUCAGCGGUUUGUCAGCGUCUUCUCGUACAGGAUGCUUACGCAUUAACGAAGAGAGGAUUAUUUUUGAAAAGAGGCGGAUGAGAUUCUAGUGGUGGUAUCGGUCUGAUGAAGAAGCACAAUUUACGUGAACAGACAUUGCCGUGCAACAUUGGUCACUCAAAGAACAAAGACAGUAGGGCCUAUCCUUUUCCAUUUGCAAUAAUUACCAUUGGCUCUAUUGGAAUUAGAUCACUUGCUUUGAUUUGUAAAUGCAGAAGGUAUCUCCAUUUAUGACUAAAGCCAUAAAUGGUGACAAUGAGAUAGGUGGCAAUUUGCCAAAAAAAAGAACAAAACAAACUAGGUGGUCUGAACGUCCUUGUUGGGGGCUGUAGGGCUUCCUUCUUAGGGCGUAGCCUUCACAAUUUUCGUGAUCUAGAUUUUUUUUUAAAUCUAAUAAUCUCUGUUGGCACGCGCCAAACUUAUGUACCAAUUUCCAAGGGAUUUUACAUUUGAAGUAUCAUUCAUUCCUAAAUUUAUUGUUCUUUGUUUUAUUAUUCGAUUUAGUCAGGGCAGCGGAAGUUUCCCGAAAGUGGAACUUCUAUGGAACCUCUUCUUUUCUACUGGCUAGGAACUGCCUGUAAACAUCGUCUAAAUUGGGGAGUUAUUUAUGCAUGUGUAUCACGCACUAAUUCCCUCGACUUGGCCGGCUUUGAUUUUACAUGGAACUUCCUGAACAGUGAAACGAGAAGUUCCACAGAAAUAUCAGCAAAAAUUUCUCUGCAACAGGCAAACGAGCUUCGCUAAUCACGGCGAUUUUCGCAGCGUGAGUUUGGCUAUAACAUGGAAGGAAGUAAAUGGUCUUGUAACACGAAGACGAGUCACCGACUUGAUUAAUAAUUGGGGUAGCCCAUCGCGGUAAGUAGAAGAUGAUGCAACUCGGAAGAAAUCUAGUUGGAGAAGAAAAAAGAGAGAUGCUGAGAAAAUUGAACAUCGCGGCUGAAACCGCAAAGGAUGGAGCAAAAAAUAUCGGUCAGUGGUGAGUUGCCUCACGUAUUUCGUAAACGGGUUCAAUGGAUCUCCAGGAGCGUGACGGUUCCUCCUAUACACGCGCCCACUGCGGGAAGGCUGCUGGUCGCAAAUAAACCCAUUCUUCUGUAUA
Molecule: unclassified non-coding RNA, 1882 nt
Filed under: Daphnia magna
Lineage: Eukaryota; Metazoa; Arthropoda; Branchiopoda; Diplostraca; Daphniidae
Description: uncharacterized LOC116919018, transcript variant X1
Source: RNAcentral